RNAcentral lists this ribosomal RNA (547 nucleotides) under uncultured bacterium. RNAcentral describes it as "bacterial SSU rRNA". It matches the Rfam family "Bacterial small subunit ribosomal RNA", at positions 358 to 916 of the family's 1533-position model. The record is from RNAcentral.
GGAAUAUUGGGCAAUGGAGGAAACUCUGACCCAGCGACGCCGCGUGCGGGAUGAAGGCCUUCGGGUUGUAAACCGCUUUCAGCAGGGAAGAAGCGAAAGUGACGGUACCUGCAGAAGAAGCACCGGCUAACUAUGUGCCAGCGGCCGCGGUAAUACAUAGGGUGCAAGCGUUGUCCGGAAUUAUUGGGCGUAAAGAGCUCGUAGGUGGUUCGUCACGUCGGAUGUGAAACUCUGGGGCUUAACCCCAGACCUGCAUUCGAUACGGGCGAGCUUGAGUAUGGUAGGGGAGUCUGGAAUUCCUGGUGUAGCGGUGGAAUGCGCAGAUAUCAGGAGGAACACCAAUGGCGAAGGCAGGACUCUGGGCCAUUACUGACACUGAGGGGCGAAAGCGUGGGGAGCGAACAGGAUUAGAUACCCUGGUAGUCCACGCCGUAAACGGUGGGCACUAGUUGUGGGGACCUUCCACGGUCUCUGCGACGCAGCUAACGCAUUAAGUGCCCCGCCUGGGGAGUACGAUCGCAAGAUUAAAACUCAAAGGAAUUGACGG